GAUGAACGCUGGCGGCGUGCCUAAUACAUGCAAGUCGAGCGAACAGAUGAGAAGCUUGCUUCUCUGAUGUUAGCGGCGGACGGGUGAGUAACACGUGGGUAACCUACCUAUAAGACUGGGAUAAAUCCGGGAAACCGGGGCUAAUACCGGACAAUAUUUUGAAUCGCAUGGUUCAAUAGUGAAAGACGGUUUCGGCUGUCACUUAUAGAUGGAGCAGAGCCGGAUUAGCUAGUUGGUAAGGUAACGGCUUACCAAAGCGACGAUGCGUAGCCGACCUGAGGGGGUGAUCGGCACCACUGGAACUGAGACACGGUCCAAACUCCUACGGGAGGCAGCAGUAGGGAAUCUUCCGCAAUGGGCGAAAGCCUGACGGAGCAACGCCGCGUGAGUGAUGAAGGUCUUCGGAUCGUAAAACUCUGUUGUUAGGGAAGAACAAAUUUGUUAGUAACUGAACAAGUCUUGACGGUACCUAACCAGAAAGCCACGGCUAACUACGUGCCAGCAGCCGCGGUAA
This 514-nucleotide ribosomal RNA is filed under the name uncultured bacterium. Its description in RNAcentral is "partial 16S ribosomal RNA". It matches the Rfam family "Bacterial small subunit ribosomal RNA", at positions 28 to 523 of the family's 1533-position model. The record is from RNAcentral.